GAACCAGUACCGUGAGGGAAAGGUGAAAAGUACCCCGGGAGGGGAGUGAAAGAGUUCCUGAAACCGGUCGCAUGCAAGCCGUCAGAGCCUGUGUGGUGAUGGCGUGCCUUUUGAAGAAUGAGCCUGCGAGUUAGCGGCAUGUUGCGAGGUUAACCUGUGUUGUGGGGUAGCCGUAGCGAAAGCGAGUCUUUGUGGGCGUUGUAGUAGCGUGUCCUAGACCCGAAGCGGGGUGAUCUACCCAUGGCCAGUGUGAAGCAGCUGUAAGAGGUUGUGGAGGCGCGAACCCACGUAGGUUAAAAACUGCGGGGAUGAGCUGUG
This 318-nucleotide ribosomal RNA is filed under the name Scrippsiella hangoei. RNAcentral describes it as "partial Bacterial large subunit ribosomal RNA". It matches the Rfam family "Bacterial large subunit ribosomal RNA", at positions 492 to 813 of the family's 2925-position model. The record is from RNAcentral. Lineage: Eukaryota; Dinophyceae; Peridiniales; Peridiniaceae.